This 87-nucleotide transfer RNA is filed under the name Candidatus Saccharimonadota bacterium. RNAcentral's name for it is "tRNA-Leu". It matches the Rfam family "tRNA". From Rfam's summary of the family: Transfer RNA (tRNA) molecules are approximately 80 nucleotides in length. Their secondary structure includes four short double-helical elements and three loops (D, anti-codon, and T loops). Further hydrogen bonds mediate the characteristic L-shaped molecular structure. tRNAs have two regions of fundamental functional importance: the anti-codon, which is responsible for specific mRNA codon recognition, and the 3' end, to which the tRNAs corresponding amino acid is attached (by aminoacyl-tRNA synthetases). tRNAs cope with the degeneracy of the genetic code in two manners: having more than one tRNA (with a specific anti-codon) for a particular amino acid; and 'wobble' base-pairing, i.e. permitting non-standard base-pairing at the 3rd anti-codon position. The record is from RNAcentral. Lineage: Bacteria; Candidatus Saccharimonadota. RNAcentral also lists the same sequence under 2 other names.
GCCGCAGUGGCGGAAUUGGUAGACGCGCUAGACUCAAAAUCUUGUGAGCUUAUGCUCGUGCCGGUUCAAGUCCGGCCUGCGGUACCA